GAACCUUUACUAUAGCUUGACACUGAACAUUGAGCCUUGAUGUGUAGGAUAGGUGGGAGGCUUUGAAGUGUGGACGCCAGUCUGCAUGGAGCCGACCUUGAAAUACCACCCUUUAAUGUUUGAUGUUCUAACGUGGACCCGUGAUCCGGGUUGCGGACAGUGUCUGGUGGGUAGUUUGACUGGGGCGGUCUCCUCCUAAAGAGUAACGGAGGAGCACGAAGGUUGGCUAAUCCUGGUCGGACAUCAGGAGGUUAGUGCAAUGGCAUAAGCCAGCUUGACUGCGAGCGUGACGGCGCGAGCAGGUGCGAAAGCAGGUCAUAGUGAUCCGGUGGUUCUGAAUGGAAGGGCCAUCGCUCAACGGAUAAAAGGUACUCCGGGGAUAACAGGCUGAUACCGCCCAAGAGUUCAUAUCGACGGCGGUGUUUGGCACCUCGAUGUCGGCUCAUCACAUCCUGGGGCUGAAGUAGGUCCCAAGGGUAUGGCUGUUCGCCAUUUAAAGUGGUACGCGAGCUGGGUUUAGAACGUCGUGAGACAGUUCGGUCCCUAUCUGCCGUGGGCGCUGGAGAACUGAGGGGGGCUGCUCCUAGUACGAGAGGACCGGAGUGGACGCAUCACUGGUGUUCGGGUUGUCAUGCCAAUGGCACUGCCCGGUAGCUAAAUGCGGAAGAGAUAAGUGCUGAAAGCAUCUAAGCACGAAACUUGCCCCGA
Molecule: ribosomal RNA, 708 nt
Filed under: Salmonella enterica subsp. enterica serovar Anatum
Lineage: Bacteria; Pseudomonadati; Pseudomonadota; Gammaproteobacteria; Enterobacterales; Enterobacteriaceae
Also listed under: 1 other name
Description: partial 23S ribosomal RNA
Rfam family: Bacterial large subunit ribosomal RNA
Source: RNAcentral